UAGAUACCCUGGUAGUCCGCGCCGUAAACGAUGGAUACCCGCGGUGCGUCUGUAGAGGUGUGCCGCCAAGCGAAAGCGUUAAGUAUCCCACCUGGGGAGUACGCCGGCAACGGUGAAACUCAAAGGAAUUGACGGGGGCCCGCACAAGCGGAGGAACAUGUGGUUUAAUUCGAUGAUACGCGAGGAACCUUACCCGGGCUCGAACCUGGAAGGGCGCCCUUUGGAGACAGGGGGUUUCCGCAAGGACUUU
RNAcentral lists this ribosomal RNA (250 nucleotides) under uncultured bacterium. Its description in RNAcentral is "partial 16S ribosomal RNA". It matches the Rfam family "Bacterial small subunit ribosomal RNA", at positions 779 to 1029 of the family's 1533-position model. The record is from RNAcentral.